This 31-nucleotide non-coding RNA is filed under the name Rattus norvegicus (Norway rat). Lineage: Eukaryota; Metazoa; Chordata; Mammalia; Rodentia; Muridae. The record is from RNAcentral.
UAACACACCACACCCUUCAGGCUUGCGCUGA